CCCUUAGAUGUUCUGGGCCGCACGCGCGCUACGCUGAUGCAUUCAACGAGUCUAAAACCUGCUCUGAUAGGGGUGGGUAAUCUUUUGAAUGUGCAUCGUGAUUGGGAUAGAUGAUUGCAAUUUUUCAUCUUCAACGAGGAAUGCCUAGUAAACGCAAGUCAUCAGCUUGCAUUGAUUACGUCCCUGCCCUUUGUACACACCGCCCGUCGCUCCUACCGAUUGAAUGAUCCGAUGAAUAUCAUGGAUUGAGGAUUAUAGCAGGUUCGCCUGUCUUGAUCUUCGAGAAGUGAAGUAAAUCUUAUCAUUUAGAGGAAGGAGAAGUCGUAACA
RNAcentral lists this ribosomal RNA (329 nucleotides) under uncultured eukaryote. RNAcentral describes it as "partial 18S ribosomal RNA". It matches the Rfam family "Eukaryotic small subunit ribosomal RNA", at positions 1470 to 1796 of the family's 1831-position model. The record is from RNAcentral.